Saccostrea cuccullata (small rock oyster) is the source of this 1229-nucleotide long non-coding RNA. RefSeq lists it as uncharacterized. The record is from RefSeq and is a predicted model, not a curated record. NCBI's taxonomy places the organism in Eukaryota, Metazoa, Mollusca, Bivalvia, Ostreida, Ostreidae. The transcript has 3 exons.
UGAAUCAUUUGUCGUGUUUUAAAGUUGACAUGGAUUUUUGAAUUCUUACACCGGAUGUACGUCCUGGACGAUAUGGUGAAAUGGGAAAUGCCCAGUUGACGGUAUCUCUUCAUUUGAGCAGCAGUCUUUCUGCAGUCAUCGGCAGCACUUCAUUAUGAAGUUGAAGUAAUAAGGACUUGGAGAAGGAAGGGCAAAAUGAAUUGGAACAGCAUGCAAACAACACUGGAAUGGAUUUCUUUGUUCUCUCUUUGCGGAGACUUCAUUGUUGGAGAUGGUAUUACAAAGACUUGGAGGAGGCUGGGCAUAUAGGAUUGGAACAGCAUGCCAACAACGCUAGAGUGGAGGUAUUGCUAAGUUGUUAAGGAAAAGCAGAGGUGAGUUGGUUUCAUUAUCAUUUUUGUACUCUUACUAAUUAGUACUAACAUUUCCCUCCCCUCCCCCACUCUCAACACAUUUUUUGUAGUAGUUCUUUCCUUUUGUUUUUUUUGUUCUGUUUUUUUUUUUCUUUGUCUAAUCUUCUCUGUUCUCUCUUUACCGGGAUGUCAUCGUUGGAGAUGGUGCACUUGGAAGCUGCUGGCUCUUCAUCGUUGGAGGAGGAGGCUGGGCAUAUUGGAUUGGAACAGCAUGCCAACAACGCUGGAACGGAGGUAUUGCUUAGUUGUUAAGGAAAAGCAGAGGUGAGUUGGUUUCAUUAUCAUUUUUGCACUCUUACUAAUUAGUACUAACAUUUCCUUCCCCUCCCCCACUAUCAACACAUUUUUUAUAGUAGUUCCUUCUUUUUGUUUUUUGUUCUGUUGUUUUUUCUUUGUCUAAUCUUCUCUGUUCUCUCUUUGCCGGGAUAUCAUCGUUGGAGAUGGUGCACAUGGAGGCUGCUGGUUCUUCAUCGUUGGAGGAGGCUGGGCAUAUUGGAUUGGAACAGCAUGCCAACAACGCUGGAACAGAGGUAUUGCUUAGUUGUUAAGGAAAAGCAGAGGUGAGUUGGUUUCAUUAUCAUUUUUGUACUCUUACUAAUUAGUACUAACAUUUCCCUCCCCUCCCCCACUCUCAACACAUUUUUUGUAGUAGUUCUUUCCUUUUGUUUUUUUUUGUUCUGUUUUUUUUUCUUUGUCUAAUCUUCUCUGUUCUCUCUUUACCGGGAUGUCAUUGUUGGAGAUGGUGCACUUGGAAGCUGCUGGCUCUUCAUCGUUGGAGGAGGAGGCUGGGCAUAUUGGAUUGGAACAGCAUGCCAA